ACAGGGGUGACCCCCCAGGACCGUGGGGACUAUACCCUCGUCUUCCAGGCCGGCGGGCGCUACUCCGAGGCCUUUGGGCGCCUGCAGGUCUCUGGUUGACCGGAUGGGGCCAGGAUUCACCCCCAACUGGGCCAGCAAGAAUUGGGGAGGGAGUGACCAGUCUCUCCCUCUCCCAUCCCAGUCACCCCCUUCCCCACCCCCACUGAACCUCAAUAAAAGUCUUUGGCAGCUGA
Molecule: long non-coding RNA, 233 nt
Organism: Malaclemys terrapin pileata
Lineage: Eukaryota; Metazoa; Chordata; Testudines; Emydidae
Exons: 2
Source: RefSeq, a predicted model, not a curated record